This 468-nucleotide ribosomal RNA is filed under the name uncultured bacterium. RNAcentral describes it as "partial 16S ribosomal RNA". It matches the Rfam family "Bacterial small subunit ribosomal RNA", at positions 28 to 523 of the family's 1533-position model. The record is from RNAcentral.
GAUGAACGCCGGCGGCGUGCCUAACACAUGCAAGUCGAGCGAUCUUCUUCGGAAGAGAGCGGCGGACGGGUGAGUAACGCGUGGGUAACCUGCCCUGUACACACGGAUAACAUACCGAAAGGUAUGCUAAUACGAGAUGAUAUGCUUUUAUCGCAUGGUAGAAGUAUCAAAGCUUUUGCGGUAUAGGAUGGACCCGCGGCUGAUUAGCUAGUUGGUAAGGUAACGGCUUACCAAGGCGACGAUCAGUAGCCGACCUGAGAGGGUGAUCGGCCACAUUGGAACUGAGACACGGUCCAAACUCCUACGGGAGGCAGCAGUGGGGAAUAUUGCACAAUGGGCGAAAGCCUGAUGCAGCAACGCCGCGUGAGCGAUGAAGGCCUUCGGGUCGUAAAGCUCUGUCCUCAAGGAAGAUAAUGACGGUACUUGAGGAGGAAGCCCCGGCUAACUACGUGCCAGCAGCCGCCGUAA